RNAcentral lists this ribosomal RNA (435 nucleotides) under uncultured bacterium. Its description in RNAcentral is "partial 16S ribosomal RNA". It matches the Rfam family "Bacterial small subunit ribosomal RNA", at positions 29 to 507 of the family's 1533-position model. The record is from RNAcentral.
AACGAACGCUGGCGGCAGGCUUAACACAUGCAAGUCGAACGCAUGCCUUCGGGCAUGAGUGGCAGACGGGUGAGUAACGCGUGGGAACCUACCCCUUGGUACGGGAUAGCUCCGGGAAGCUGGAGAUAAUACCGUAUGUGUCCUGAGGGACAAAGAUUCAUCGCCAAGGGAUGGGCCCGCGUCGGAUUAGCUAGUUGGUGGGGUAACGGCCUACCAAGGCGACGAUCCGUAGCUGGUCUAAGAGGAUGAUCAGCCACAUUGGGACUGAGACACGGCCCAAACUCCUACGGGAGGCAGCAGUGGGGAAUAUUGGACAAUGGGCGCAAGCCUGAUCCAGCCAUGCCGCGUGAGUGAUGAAGGCCCUAGGGUUGUAAAGCUCUUUCACCGGUGACGAUAAUGACGGUAACCGGAGAAGAAGCCCCGGCUAACUUCGUG